GAUGAACGCUGGCGGCGUGCCUAAUACAUGCAAGUCGAGCGAACAGACGAGGAGCUUGCUCCUCUGACGUUAGCGGCGGACGGGUGAGUAACACGUGGAUAACCUACCUAUAAGACUGGGAUAACUUCGGGAAACCGGAGCUAAUACCGGAUCAUAUAUUGAACCGCAUGGUUCAAUAGUGAAAGACGGUUUUGCUGUCACUUAUAGAUGGAUCCGCGCCGCAUUAGCUAGUUGGUAAGGUAACGGCUUACCAAGGCAACGAUGCGUAGCCGACCUGAGAGGGUGAUCGGCCACACUGGAACUGAGACACGGUCCAGACUCCUACGGGAGGCAGCAGUAGGGAAUCUUCCGCAAUGGGCGAAAGCCUGACGUAGCAACGCCGCGUGAGUGAUGAAGGUCUUCGGAUCGUAAAACUCUGUUAUUAGGGAAGAACAAAUGUGUAAGUAACUAUGCACGUCUUGACGGUACCUAAUCAGAAGGCCACGGCUAACUACGUG
Molecule: ribosomal RNA, 497 nt
Filed under: uncultured bacterium
Lineage: Bacteria
Description: partial 16S ribosomal RNA
Rfam family: Bacterial small subunit ribosomal RNA
Source: RNAcentral